UUGUAGGGCAGCAUAAGGGGUGGUGCUGCACUCCUGAGUGUCUCCGUCUUUUAGAUGGGAUAUUAAACCAUGGUCCCAUCUGAAGUUCCCUUAUGCCCUGCUCAAGAUCCCCCUAGUAGUAUAAAUACCACCUUGGGUCCCCCUGAAAAGAGGCCAUUAUCAUAAUAGUACUAACCCAGUCAUCAAAGGAUAAAUAAAAUAUUAAAAUAAAAAUUCCGGUUCUUUGUUUUGUUUGAUAUGUGGACACACUAAAGCCCCGUAAUAAAGCUUACACCAUCUGUUAUGCUAUGCUCAGACCCAGGAAAUCAAACUUAGUGUUAAUGAUGAUUUACUGUGACCAAUUUAAUGAUUUCUUGAAUGUGCUUGGUUAUAAAAUGUUCAACUUUUUUCACAUCUAAGAUGGUAUAGAAUGAAUUGUUAUAGUGAUGGAUUCAUGUCUUAUUGGCAAAGAAUGACACUGAUUUAAUUUUCCAGGGAAAUGCUACAAUUCCAUAAAUUAGAUUAGACUGAUUUCUGGACUACAAACAUGGAAUUUGGUAUUUUAUAUCAGACCUUUACUCAGAAAAACCUGUAUUUUUAAAUUCUUCCAGUUUGCUUUUGGUGUCAUGUACCAGACAUUGCAUUUAACCAUUAGAAUUUUACUUUAAUUUUAGUCCAUAAAAACAUGUUAAAACACUUUAAAAUCUAAAUCAGUGUCUUUGCUAUUGGGCUAAGGAUGAUUUAAGACUGCUUUACAUAGAUGUUAAGUGCAAAUGGAACCAGAGCCCCCAGGAUUGAAGAUGUACAUGGAGCCAUAGCAAAAGCUGAAAACAAGCAACAGCUCAAGUAAAACAGGCCUCAGUAUCUAGAAGUACCCACACCAUGUGGUUCAGGCUUCAAUAUCCAGCCUCUCUGGACUGAUUUAAAGGAUGUGCACCUGAUAAAAACUGCAUGAGUAAAGGAGAAUGUCUGCAUGAAAGAACUCCUAUGAAAAAAUGAAUCAAGCACUUCAUAUACUAGCCCUUAACUAAAAUGACAUCAAAUGAUAGCAUCUCAGGA
This is a long non-coding RNA of Protopterus annectens (West African lungfish), 1038 nucleotides long. RefSeq lists it as uncharacterized. The record is from RefSeq and is a predicted model, not a curated record. Lineage: Eukaryota; Metazoa; Chordata; Ceratodontiformes; Protopteridae. The transcript is spliced from 3 exons.